RNAcentral lists this small nuclear RNA (104 nucleotides) under Castor canadensis (American beaver). Lineage: Eukaryota; Metazoa; Chordata; Mammalia; Rodentia; Castoridae. The record is from RNAcentral.
GUUCUUGCUUCGGCAGCACAUAUACUAAAAUUGGAAUGAUACAGAGAUUAGCAUGGCCCCUGCACAAGGAUGACAGGCAAAUUCGUGAAGGGUUCCAUAUUAAA